AUUGUGCCAGCGGCCGCGGUAAUACAGAGGGUGCAAGCGUUGUUCGGAAUUAUUGGGCGUAAAGCGAGUGUAGGCGGUUAUCUAAGUCUGGUGUGAAAGCCCGGGGCUCAACCUCGGAAGUGCACUGGAUACUGGGUAACUAGAGGGCGAUAGAGGGGAACGGAAUUAAUGGUGUAGGGGUGAAAUCCGUAGAUAUCAUUAGGAACACCGAAAGCGAAGGCUGUUCCCUGGGUCGCAACUGACGCUAAGACUCGAAAGCAUGGGUAGCAAACAGGAUUAGAUACCCUGGUAGUCCACGCCCUAAACGAUGUCAACUGGUUGUUGGGAGGGUUUCUUCUCAGUAACGUAGCUAACGCGUGAAGUUGACCGCCUGGGGAGUACGGCCGCAAGGUUGAAACUCAAAGGAAUUGACGGGGGCCCGCACAAGCGGUGGAGUAUGUGGUUUAAUUCGAUGCAACGCGAAGAACCUUACCUGGCCUUGACAUGCACGGAACUUUCCAGAGAUGGAUUGGUGCCUUCGGGAACCGUGACACAGGUGCUGCAUGGCUGUCGUCAGCUCGUGUCGUGAGAUGUUGGGUUAAGUCCCGCAACGAGCGCAACCCUUGUCAUUAGUUGCCACGAAAGGGCACUCUAAUGAGACUGCCGGUGACAAACCGGAGGAAGGUGGGGAUGACGUCAGGUCCUCAUGGCCCUUAUGGGUAGGGCUACACACGUCAUACAAUGGCCGGUACAGAGGGCUGCCAACCCGCGAGGGGGAGCCAAUCCCAGAAAACCGGUCGUAGUCCGGAUCGCAGUCUGCAACUCGACUGCGUGAAGUCGGAAUCGCUAGUAAUCGCGGAUCAGCUUGCCGCGGUGAAUACGUUCCCGGGUCUUGUACACACCGCCCGUCACACCAUGGGAGCGGGUUCCGCCAGAAGUAGUUAGCCUAACCGCAAGGAGGGCGAUUACCACGGCGGGGUUCGUGACUGGGGUGAAGUCGUAACAAGGUAACCAAU
Molecule: ribosomal RNA, 995 nt
Filed under: uncultured bacterium
Lineage: Bacteria
Description: bacterial SSU rRNA
Rfam family: Bacterial small subunit ribosomal RNA
Source: RNAcentral